AAUAAGUUUAAUUUUACACUUUUUAUAUUUAAUGUUUGACCACUCGUCUUUUUUAAAAAAAACUAUGAUUAGUUUUUUACUGUUAUUAGAUGAUAAAACAUAAAUAAUACUUUAUGUGUGACUAUUUUUUUAUAUUUUUUUAAAUAAGACGGACGGUUAAACGUUGGACACGGAUUUUUACGACUGCAUUUAUU
Molecule: microRNA precursor, 194 nt
Filed under: Oryza meridionalis
Lineage: Eukaryota; Viridiplantae; Streptophyta; Magnoliopsida; Poales; Poaceae
Description: MIR812 microRNA precursor family
Rfam family: MIR812 microRNA precursor family
Source: Rfam by way of RNAcentral